UUUAAAGCUUUGGGUAACGGAGCGCUAUUCUAGUGCACAAAUUGACAUUCGAAGGCGGGCCUAAGAAUCCGCCGAGGGCAUACCGAUGAAGUUCCUGGUGGUGGCUUACGACGCCCAGUCGAGGGUUGCUGCUGGGAGUUAAGGCCGAGGGGGAUCCGCAACGGCAUGCGGGCGCUACCCUUGUCCGUGGAGGCCUGAGUAUGUGGUCUGCAAAGAUUACGGCUCAGGGUAUGAACCUGCAUUAGGAAGGAACUUAGUGCAGCGUAGCCUGCCUUGAGGUGGAAAAGUUGGGAAGGCGUGUGGGGUGUGAAUUGUGUUGGCCGACACGGUUCUACCUGCCGGAAAUUCUUUUCUGCAAAAGAGGCUAGUGUGUCAAGGCGUGUUAAGGAAACUUCUAGAGCGUUAACCGGCGGGGAUUAAAGUGCGUCCUCAGUGGUGAUCAAGUUUUGAGUGUGGCGACACCUCAGGCUGGGGGAAAAGGGAAACCGCCUGUCGGGAAACCGCGGGAACCCAGUGGGAAAACCUACUUGACCUAAGACGCAAUAUUGACCUGCCGGCAUCCUAAGGCCCAAAGAGGCA
RNAcentral lists this small RNA (579 nucleotides) under Peptococcaceae bacterium CEB3. Lineage: Bacteria; Bacillati; Bacillota; Clostridia; Eubacteriales; Peptococcaceae. The record is from RNAcentral.